CAUUCCCUGACGAUUCAACUCGAUGGCUGGCUUACAAUGCCUUGCAGUGUGUAUCCAUCUCAGAUGUCCAGCCCGAACAUAGACUGCCUUAUCAAGAAACAGAACAAGAUAUCAUCAUUACCGUUCAGCAGCUACCAGCUCUCAAAGACAGCCAUCAAUACCAAUGUGCCUUCGACUCUUACAAGGUCAAUGCUGCUGCUACUACGACCAAUACAGUCAUAUGCGUAACUCCUCCUGCGAGUGAAUUGCCAACGAUUCCAGAAGAAGUGGCCCAUGUAACAUUGACACUUUCCAUUGUCUCAACGGAAACUGGAGUAAGCUUCGUCAGCACAGAUUUCAUAUCGUUUGACUGCUCCCAUCU
Strongylocentrotus purpuratus (purple sea urchin) is the source of this 361-nucleotide long non-coding RNA. RefSeq lists it as uncharacterized. The transcript is spliced from 3 exons. NCBI's taxonomy places the organism in Eukaryota, Metazoa, Echinodermata, Echinoidea, Camarodonta, Strongylocentrotidae. The record is from RefSeq and is a predicted model, not a curated record.